Molecule: transfer RNA, 76 nt
Filed under: Corynebacterium provencense
Lineage: Bacteria; Bacillati; Actinomycetota; Actinomycetes; Mycobacteriales; Corynebacteriaceae
Description: tRNA-Glu
Rfam family: tRNA
About the family: Transfer RNA (tRNA) molecules are approximately 80 nucleotides in length. Their secondary structure includes four short double-helical elements and three loops (D, anti-codon, and T loops). Further hydrogen bonds mediate the characteristic L-shaped molecular structure. tRNAs have two regions of fundamental functional importance: the anti-codon, which is responsible for specific mRNA codon recognition, and the 3' end, to which the tRNAs corresponding amino acid is attached (by aminoacyl-tRNA synthetases). tRNAs cope with the degeneracy of the genetic code in two manners: having more than one tRNA (with a specific anti-codon) for a particular amino acid; and 'wobble' base-pairing, i.e. permitting non-standard base-pairing at the 3rd anti-codon position.
Source: RNAcentral
GCUCCGUUCGUCUAGCGGCCCAGGACGCUGGCCUCUCACGCCGGUAACACGGGUUCAAAUCCCGUACGGAGUACCA